Molecule: ribosomal RNA, 950 nt
Filed under: Corymorphidae environmental sample
Lineage: Eukaryota; Metazoa; Cnidaria; Hydrozoa; Anthoathecata; Corymorphidae
Description: partial large subunit ribosomal RNA
Source: RNAcentral
UCCCCUAGUAACGGCGAGUGAAGCGGGAAGAGCUCAAACUUAGAAUCUCCGUUGCUUGCAACGGCGAAUUGUAGUCUCGAGAAGCGUUUUCAAGACGGAUGCUCAGUGCUCAAGUUGCUUGGAACGGCACAUCAUAGAGGGUGACAAUCCCGUAUGUGGCACUGAGUACCGUUCACGAUGCGUUUUCCAUGAGUCGGGUUGCUUGGGAAUGCAGCCCAAAAUGGGAGGUAAACUCCUUCUAAAGCUAAAUAUUGGCACGAGACCGAUAGCGAACAAGUACCGUGAGGGAAAGAUGAAAAGCACUUUGAAAAGAAAGUUAAUAGUACGUGAAACCGUUGAAAGGGAAGCGCAUGGAAUUAGCAAUGCACCGUCGAGAUUCAGACUAGCGGAGGCGACUACGCGCGUUGUGCGGAUCCGAAUGGACUGCCGGCGUACGUCAGGCGUUUCUGUUUGUCGCAUUUCCCGGCGGUGUGCGUCAACAGCUGUUGGGACCGAGUGAUGAGCCUUGCAGGGAGGUGGCUGGCUUCGGCUAGUGUUAUAACUUGCAGGUGCGAGCUCGGGUCCGACAGAGGGGUUGCGGCACAUGCUCUUCGGGGCUGGCCUCUCUCCUCUCAGUCCUUUGUCGACCAGGGCGGACUGCGUGCAGUGCGUUCGAACUGCUUGGGGCUGUCGGGGGGAAGAGUGCACACACUGUGCCCAGGUUGUUGGCGGUCAUAUGAUUUCAUGCGACCCGUCUUGAAACACGGACCAAGGAGUCUAACAUGUGUGCGAGUCUUCGGGUGACUGAAACCCUCGGGCACAAUGAAAGUAAAGGCUCGCAAGAGCUGAAGUGAGAUCUCUCUCUACGGGGGGAGCGCAUCAUUGACCGACCUAUUCUACUCCUAGAAAGGUUUGAGUAAGAGCACAUCUGUUGGGACCCGAAAGAUGGUGAACUAUGCUKGAGUAGGGCG